AGUGCAAUAGUUGUGUUUUUUUAUUAUUAAACAUCAGUGUAAGUCCUGAAAGUGGCACUGCAGGGGUAGCCUUUUACAGGGCUGUGAAGUGUCCUGGGCAGUGCUGACCCUCCCCUUCUUGAGGCACUUAGGCCCUGUGGAUGAGCAGCCUCUGCCUUGGUCAGUAGUGGUGAGGUUGCAACUGCAGUUGUGGGUAGAAGGUCAUAUUUCUGCCCUCUGUGGGGCUCCUCCAUUUCUGUGGAGGUGAAUGUGGUGGGAUGGGCAUGAAGACCCCCACAUAAUUUCUCUGACUUUUGAAGACAGAUGUGAAGAGGUCAUUGAGAACCUCAGCCUUUUCUUAUCAAUAGCCUUGUUCCCAAUUGCAUCCACUAAAGGAUGGAGAUUCUUGUUUGUCCUCUUACUUAUAUAUUUAUAAAUAUGUUUUUUUGUUCUGUUUUACUGUGGUGGGGAAAAAGCUUAGUUUUUUCCUUUCUACUCUUCUCCCUGCAUAUUCUAAUAACUUCUUUGUACUUUCCCUGGGCUGCCUGUCUCUUCUUCUACAGGAGGUAGGUUCUCUUUUUCUCCUGGAGUCUCAGAAAAAGUUUCCUGUUCAUUCACGCCAGCCUUUUUCCUGCCAUCUCAUCCUAUGGCACAGGAGGAUAGCCUGCUCCUGUGCCUCUAAGACUUCUGUCUGAACAGUUCAAAGUUUGCCCUCUGAAAGUCCAAAGUAGCAGUAAAACUGUACAGUUGUUGGUAGAGGAGUGGAUGGCACUCACAAGCAUCCUGCAGAGCAGGCUGGUGAGUUUCCUCCUGGUACACUGGAGGAUGCAGUGGAGGCAGAACCUGUGAUCACAGGGAGCAGCCAUGUGGGUGUCAGCUCUCACAUUGUGGCAGAUGGAGCGGAGUGCCUCCUCCUUGGCCAUGUUCUUCAUGCUGCAGCUGCCUGGGCGGAAGCUGGAGAUGAAAAGCUGUUUGCCUUCACUGCUGUGGCAGGUGCUGCACACUUCAGGAAGGGAGGCCACUGUCAGUGGCUGUCCUGGGGUAAGCAAGUAGCAGUACCUCAGUCCCUCAGCAGAAAGCUCUCCUGGCCUCUCUUGUGCUCCCUUCCAGCACAGGGUCAGGCUGCAGGUGUGGAUCUGACAGCUCCCCAAGCCCCAGCACCCACUCCAUGGUCACCCCAGAGACAUGUCCCCACAUCACUUUGCCUUGAGUGCACGUUGUAGGGCCUGUCUGCCAGGCAGGGCCAGGAAAACUCAGGUGAGACUGCAGGGAUGGGUACUGAGAAUAGCUUCCAGACCCCCACAGCACAACACAAGAUAGCCUUGCUAGAUCUCCAAGCUUUGAAAACAUGCUCAGCCAGAGAAUGGGUGCAAGCUUGGCUGGGCUGGGCUCUACUAUGUACCUGUAUAUGUAGUAGAGGUCCAUGAGAUCACAGUCCAUUGCCCAGUGACAUCACAUACCGUUACUUUGUGACAUCAAAGACACUUUCUUGGUAGUGUUACCCUAGGGAGGCCUGUUCAGCUCAAGAAAGCUAGAAAGGAACUCUUUAUAGGGAGUGAAGUGAUAGGACAGGAUUUCCAACCCAAACCACUCUGAAUCUACUUUGAGUGUUUCUCUGAAAAUGAUGUAUGAUUGAACAGAGACAAAUUAGAAGAGUAUGCAGAGAAAGAAGUCUGGGAAGGGGAGGUUAAAAGGAAAUCAUAUGCCCUUUACCACCCCAAUUUGCUCCUCCUGGAAACAUUCUCAGUGAUAGUCUAUAGAAUUCUGCAAGCUCGUUGGUCACUGAUUCAUCACUGCUGUAGUAAGGAUGAGAUGAGGUUACUAGAUUUCCUUGCUUAUGGAAUUGUUCAAAGGAUCGAUCAGCUUGGUGACUGAAAGACCCAAACAGCAAUAGAAGAUGGAACCAUUAGUGUGGAAGUGACAAGUUUUCUGUCAUGGACUGACUACUGUCAACUACUGUCAAAUGACAAUUCAUUACUCUCUUAAAAAAAAAUUAAAAUAAAUUCUGUCUUUC
Molecule: long non-coding RNA, 1993 nt
Organism: Gallus gallus (chicken)
Lineage: Eukaryota; Metazoa; Chordata; Aves; Galliformes; Phasianidae
Exons: 4
Source: RefSeq, a predicted model, not a curated record